Long non-coding RNA from Xiphophorus maculatus (southern platyfish), 2499 nucleotides. RefSeq lists it as uncharacterized. The record is from RefSeq and is a predicted model, not a curated record. Lineage: Eukaryota; Metazoa; Chordata; Actinopteri; Cyprinodontiformes; Poeciliidae. The transcript has 5 exons.
UCUAUCUAUCUAUAUGAUAUAUAUAUAUAUAUAUAUAUAUAGAGAGAGAGAGAUAAUAUAUUAUAUUUGCAAAUGUAGUAAUAGAAAUUAUUAGUAAGAGUUUUGCAAUGACACGUAGAAAGAAAUGAUUUGUUCCAAAGAUCUGAAUCUCAAUGUAGUCACAGUUAUGAAAUAUGAAAUUGUUUGUUUACAUUUCUUCCAGGUAUAUUCAGGUUAAGCAUGAGAUGCUUCCAUUUAAUUUGACAUUAACAGAAAACAUCUUUCAUCAUUAAAAUGUUGUGCAAAUCUGUAAUAUUUCCACUAGGCAGUAUUUUUUCAUCAGAGCGUCUUUGGGGUUUUUUAUUGAGUUUGAAAAGAACAUAAAUGAACAACAUGACAUUUUGUCACUUGACAAAAUGUCAUGUUUACUGGUUUACUGUGUGGUGUCUUUUAUAACUUUGUAUUUUUGUGUUUUAUGAUGUAAAGCACUUUAAACUGUGUUGUUGCCAAAAUGUUCUACACAAAUAAACUUGAUUGAUUUUCAUAUCACAAGACUGAAACUAUUUCGUUUAUUGCAGGACUUUGAUCCUGUUGCUCAUUCGCUCUUCGGUGAGCUGAACUGAACUGAACUGUCUUCGUCGUGAACACUAAGAAUCGGAUCAUCCUGUUGCAUUUUGUUGCAUUUCCUAUUUCCUGCUGUCUCCAGUUCUUCUGCUGAUAAUACUGCACCUGACAUGACCCAGAGCAGCAAUCUGAAAUGGGCUUUUAUAGGAGGUGUCGUUGGAAUGGCUAUCGGUGUUUUAAUAUCCAGUGUUUUAGUCUGGAUAUACAAAUGUAAGAAGUCGAGGCAUUCUUCAUACACUGAGCAAGGAUGUGAUGAAGAAGAGCCGCUUCUUCCCACCAGGAACAACUGGAGAAGAGGAAAUAGACAAGUUCCUGAAUCUGAGACUGAAAAUGAGACAACCAGCAUCAAGUCGAAGCAGUCCAGGCACAAAGAUGGAGGGGGAAGAUGGGAUGAGAGAGAGUCGCUUCUUUCCACCCUGAAUGAAGUGAAAACUGAACUGGAGAACCAGAAACAUCAACUAGCAGAACAACUCAGAGAAGUCGAGUCUGAAAUGAAGAAAAACAAAGAAGAUCUUCAAUCAGUGGAAACCAAAAUAACAGACAGACAAAGCCAUGAUGACACAGAGUCAUUGUUAAAGGAAAAAGAAAAACUGCUACAGACCCAGUGGAAAUUAGAUGAGAAAAAGAAAACCAUUGAACGACAAACAUUAAACAUAGAGAAAGCUCUGGAACCUGUAGAGAACAUAAAUUAGUGUCCUUAGAUUUUACACAGUAACCAACUCAACUAAUUAAGUUGAGUAAAAACACAACUUAGUUUUACACAUUAGAGAACCAGCAGGUGAUAGGGAAUUGAUACUUUUUACCAUUUAUUUAUUGACAUAUCUGCUGUUUUUAUACUUCUGCAAAAUGUGAUUUCCUGUUAAAGACGUUUCCAGACAAUGUGCUUUCAGCUGUCUACAAGGACCGGUGACAUCCUGUGUAAAUGUCAAACGCAGCUUUCUUAAAGAGUUACCAUAUAUGGAAUGCAUUUUCCUGUACUUGUUUUUGGUGUUGAAUUAUCAUUAUGACGACAUGCCUAUGCUUAGAAGUGAAUAAAUAUAGAAGGGUUGCAAGACCCUGUUGGAGUUAGCUUGUCUGACUUAGCUAAGUCUGACAAGCUUCUCCCCUUCCUGCAGAAAGACAAGUUUUUGUGUCCUUGUGAUUCUUUCAGAGUUUAUUUGAAGAAUAAACCUAACAGCAGAUGUUUAGUAGCUGAAAAGUAAAGUCUUAGCCUUCAGGAGAUCCUGCUGACUAUUCCACAGAUGGGACCCAUAAGAGAAGAAAAGGCCUCACUGUUUGUUGUGACUCUUGGAAAUGAUGACAGAUCGGUGCUGAAGGGCUGCAGGUGUUAAAAGCAGCUCUGUACUGUAAGACCACAGGGCCCAUUUCAAAAGCAUUUAUUCUGAAACAUGUCAGUAAUUAAAGCUUAAAAUUACUACAUUUGUACAUUUAAGAAAAUGCAUUAGAUUAAUAAAACUGUGUUUAUGUGUAAUGUUGCUUUUACAUAUAAGUGCACAAAUAUGUCUGACGAGAUGUAAGAAAUGUUAGAAAACAUGAUUGUAUUAGAAGUUUUGUGGGGAAAAAGGUAAUUCUAUUCUCAUUUCUAUGUUUUUUAAAUGAAACAUUUAGAGAUUGGUAGAUUUAAUCUCCGCAAUCAUGGCUGAACUCAAAAUGUUUCUUUAAAACGUGUCAUAAACUCUAAAUCCUGAGACAUGACUGGCCUUUCAUUCAUCCUGUCUCUGAUGUUGGAUGAUGUUACAGAGGACUGCGGCCAAUUUAACAAAACUCCAAGUCUCAGAGCAGAAAGCUGAUUACUGUGGUUCUUAUGUUAAAUCAGUCUUUUAUGUCCAAAAUUUGCUAUAUUAUCAUUUUAUUUCACAAACUUGUGUUAAAAAGAUCUUUGAAUUAUUACCAAAA